This 362-nucleotide ribosomal RNA is filed under the name uncultured bacterium. RNAcentral describes it as "bacterial SSU rRNA". It matches the Rfam family "Bacterial small subunit ribosomal RNA", at positions 29 to 416 of the family's 1533-position model. The record is from RNAcentral.
AACGAACGCUGGCGGCAGGCCUAACACAUGCAAGUCGAACGCUCGUAGCAAUACGGGAGUGGCGCACGGGUGAGUAACGCGUGGGCACCUACCCGGUGGUCCGGAAUAACCGCGGGAAACUGCGGCUAAUACCGAAUAAGCCCUUAGGGGGAAAGAUUUAUCGCCAUCGGAUGGGCCCGCGUAGGAUUAGCUAGUUGGUGAGGUAACGGCUCACCAAGGCUACGAUCCUUAGCUGGUCUGAGAGGAUGAUCAGCCACACUGGGACUGAGACACGGCCCAGACUCCUACGGGAGGCAGCAGUGGGGAAUAUUGGACAAUGGGCGCAAGCCUGAUCCAGCCAUGCCGCGUGAGUGAAGAAGGCC